CCUGAACGGACCAAACCUACAUGCUGUGUUCAGCAACAACAUCCCCUGCAGCCACCAUGAUCAAAAGAGAGGCUGAAGGGGAUGCUAAAGGAGACAAAACCAAGAUGAAGGAUGAGCCACAGAGAAGAUCUGCAAGGUUGUCUGCUAAACCUGCUCCUCCAAAGCCAGAGCCCAAACCUACAAGGGCCCCUGCGAAGAAGAGAGAGAAGGUAACCAAGGGGAAGAAGGGGAAAGCCAACGCUGGUAAGGAUGGGAAUAAUCCUGCAGAAAAUGGAGAUGCCAAAACAGACCAGGCACAGAAAGCUGAAAGUGCUGGAGAUGCCAAGUGACCUGUGUACAUUUUUGAUAACUGUGUACUUCUGGUGACUGUACAGUUUGAAAUACUAUUUUUUAUCAAGUUUUAUAAAAAUGCAGAAUUAUGUUUUACUU
This is a non-coding RNA of Mus caroli (Ryukyu mouse), 429 nucleotides long. Lineage: Eukaryota; Metazoa; Chordata; Mammalia; Rodentia; Muridae. The record is from RefSeq and is a predicted model, not a curated record.